UCGCGUCAAGCGCCGUAGGCAGGAGCGGGGGACCCAAGGUAAGUGCCGCGCCCGGACAUCGACCGGGCCGGCUUGGGGUGGAGCCGUGCGCCCAGUUGCGCACGGCCGGGCAACUCAACCGGCCCGAACCCGACAGCUCACCUCGCAGGCGUCGGUGAGGGGAUCG
This 166-nucleotide small RNA is filed under the name Streptomyces sp. RNAcentral describes it as "c-di-AMP sequence". It matches the Rfam family "c-di-AMP riboswitch aptamer (ydaO/yuaA leader)". Rfam says of the family: This family represents a conserved RNA structure found upstream of the ydaO and yuaA genes in Bacillus subtilis and related genes in other bacteria. The ydaO/yuaA element is thought to act as a genetic "off" switch for the ydaO and yuaA genes in its native state. Lineage: Bacteria; Bacillati; Actinomycetota; Actinomycetes; Kitasatosporales; Streptomycetaceae. RNAcentral also lists the same sequence under 1 other name. The record is from RNAcentral.